AACAUGUGUGAUCUAUCUUUGACAGGUGUAAGAGCCGUCAAGCCUAAAGUCAGUGCUGAUGUUGGCUGUAUCGUCUGUGAGUUUAUCAUGACCACAGUGGAUUCUCUCAUCUCUGCAAACAGUUCACAGGCGGAGGUUGAAGCAGCGCUGGAGAAGGUGUGCACUCUAUUGCCAGCAACCAUCAGUGCCGAGUGUAGCCAGUUUGUCGAGGAAUAUGGUCCAGCUGUCAUCAACUUACUGGUCAAUAAACUGGACCCCAAGAGUAUCUGCACAACGCUACGUCUGUGUACAAGCAGCAAGGGUGUUAAAGUCUCAAAGAGUCCAUCAUUCACACCAAAGACCAAGGUAUCUGCAGGCCCUGAAUGUGUAAUAUGCGAGUUUGUUAUGCGUGAAGUCGACACUCUCCUUGGUGACAACAAGACACAGGCUGCUGUAGAGGCAGCUUUGGACAAAGUAUGUAGCCUGCUGCCAAGUACCGUGAUCGCAGGAGUGCAACCGACUUUGUCAAUACAUAUAGCCAGCCAUCAUACAGCUCCUUCUCCAAGAACUUGAUGCCAGUGUGGUUUGCAGUGCCCUUGGCUUGUGCUCACAGAGAAGAAACAAAAUAGUGCCCCUGAAGGUGAAUGAUGAAAUCUGUGACCUGUGUGUGACCGUGAUGAACUACGCUGAUGCACUGCUGAAGGAAAAUGCUACCGUGCAGGAUGCGAGAUGGUCUUGGACAAAGUUUGCAACUUUCUGUCUGCUCAGAUGACAAACCAGUGUUUGGCCUUCGUUGACCAGUACGCACCACUUGUCCUUGACAUCUUCUUGCCAGCGACAUUGACCCCAGGCAAAUCUGCAAGACCAUAGGCUUGUGUCCAACCAGCCAGAAGGGUGUCCAGAACAAGCUACACAAGUUGUUGGGGCAGGGCAAGUGCUCAUAUGGACCAAGCUUCUGGUGUGCCAGCAAAGAUAAUGCCAUACAGUGCAAGGCCAUGGAGCACUGCCAGAAACAUGUCUGGAACUAGACACAAGCCAGGAUCAGGAACACAGCGAAAAGUGAAAUUCAAGCUCAGAAAAUUAUACUCACUUCAAUACUUUUAUUUUGUAUUAAACUAACUAUUGCUUAACAUUGGAUGCUAUGUACUGUUGUGUUUCCUAGAACAUGUGGAAAGUGGACCAAUCCAGGAGAUUAUUAGACCCCUAGAUACAUACUUUUACUUCACAUUAAGUGCUAGAUCUUCCCUUGUAUCAUUGUGUUUCCUAGAACCUGUGGAAAGUGGACAAAUCCAGGAGAUUAUUAGGCACCUAGAUACAUACUUUUACUUUGCAUUAAGUGCUAGAUCUUCCCUUGUAUUAUUCGUCUCAUCACUGUACAAGUGAGAUAGUGGUAAGGACAUACUUUUAGGUGAUCUGAGAAAUGAACCUUUCUUUAUUUAAAUUAUGCUUCAUAUUAUGUAGUUGUAUACGUGGAAUCUUUACUUGAGGGUACCUCUAUAUUUUCAUGGUAAUUUGGUUUGGUAUAAUUCCAGGUUUGUUCUGAAAAGAUUGUCAUAUUUCCUAAUCUUAAAAGUCACACUAAUUGGGUUUUGAAGAUUUGUGAGUUCUAUUUUUAUGAAGUUAAGUUGAACAGGGAUUUUUACAAGAGUGGAAAAUAACUCAAUUAUGUUUCGGUUUGAAUAUUGUUUGACAAUAAAGUCACCUUGUAUUUUUCUGUAUUCAGUGAUAUAACAUUUUACAAACUGAAUUGAUAUGAAACUAUACAUUGGUCCAUGUGAUAUGUUUGUUGCAUUGAUUUGAUACCAUGUUAUUUUCAUAUAUCAUGUACAUACCGGUUUGUUGGGCUAAGAACUGCAAAGAGUAGAAUGUAUUGUGAAAGUUAUGCAAAACAGGAAAAUUAAACAUGUAGGUUGUACUCAAUACUGACCUCUCAGUGAGAAACUGUAUAUAUUGCACUAUUUUUGUAACCAUCAGCAUUGUUGUUAGUGUACGUUACUUUAAUGGUCUACAAACUUAUAGCCUCUCCUGGUAUGGAAACAUCAGCAACAGUAAAUACAGAUAUAGAUCUUUUUGCAAAAAAACAUUAGUAUUCAUAAAUUUCGGAAAAGAUGCAGGACGUGAAUUAUAUUACUUCUGCAGAUGACAAAUAACAUGAAGAAAACAAUCCAGCUUUGUCUCAUUAUCCAGAGGUGAAAUGACAGCAGGUUUGUCAUUUGUAUCAGCAGGAAACAUGUAGACCAUUAUUGUGGAGAUGCUGUUUACCGUCAUCCAAGAUGAAUAUCGUAUUGUUUAAGUCUGUGCGCGUACACUCUUACCUGUUGUAUAUAUUCUUAAGGCCCCAAUUCGGUAGUUAGUUUGCCCAUAUGUUAAUGACAUUAAUAGAAGUUAAAGGACAACCAUGUCAUGACAGAUUAACCAAUGUCAUGUGAAGCAAUUAAGUGUUUUUAGCUUCUAUUGGUUAGUGUAGUUCUGAAACUGCAGACGCACUGAGACUGAUAACAUUUUGAGAAGAAGAUAAGUGAAUGUCAAGAUCGAAGUCCGUCCUGAUCGAAGUCCGUCCUGAUCAGGGACAGUGUGGACAAACCAACUAUUUUAGGAGGGCAUUGGUGUGUUCUCAUAGUAUCAUGUAUACAUUUACCUGUUCUGUUUGGAUCCAUUCUUUUAUAUUGAGAGUAUUCAGUUUGCAUUUGGUGAGAAAUGUUUUGCAGUUAUAUGUCAGCAUUUGAGCGAACAGGAUUUGGUGUAAUCUAUAUUAAGAGCAACUAAAAUAGAAACAUGUUUGGAUGUAUUGGAAUAUAUCGUGUAUGAAAAGUGCUUUCUCCACAUUCUAUUGAAUUUACACCUGUGCAUAUUUGUUGGUGCAAAGAAAGAUAUGAGUUAUUGAAUAUUUUUGGAUUUUUAUGGUUGGGUUUAAGGAUCACAUCUUGUUUAGUGUGGAUGAGACAUUGCUUCAGUUUUUUUUUGUCAGUUCUUGGAGUAGAAUCAGUUUGGAGUGUAUGUAACAAUGGGGUUUUAACAAUGCAACACCUGAUGGUAGAAGCAAGACUGAUGAUUCUUUCAGUUUGCCAGGUGCCCAUGUGUAGAGUACAAGUGCCAUUCAUUCAUAAUAAACAAGAUGUCCUCAACUCCAUAUGUGUAUGGACUAGAUGCCAAAUAAGUUAUUCGUAAACGAGUAAAUCAAAGUUCUGAAAGUAUUUAGCAAAAUGUUUUUUUCCCUUCUUUUCAAUAAAAAAACAUUCCUUCACGA
Molecule: RNA transcript, 3226 nt
Organism: Haliotis rubra (blacklip abalone)
Lineage: Eukaryota; Metazoa; Mollusca; Gastropoda; Lepetellida; Haliotidae
Gene name: prosaposin-like
Exons: 8
Source: RefSeq, a predicted model, not a curated record